This 29-nucleotide non-coding RNA is filed under the name Mus musculus (house mouse). Lineage: Eukaryota; Metazoa; Chordata; Mammalia; Rodentia; Muridae. The record is from RNAcentral.
GUUCUAGCCUGGAAAACAAGAUGAGAGAA